RNAcentral lists this ribosomal RNA (374 nucleotides) under uncultured organism. Its description in RNAcentral is "bacterial SSU rRNA". It matches the Rfam family "Bacterial small subunit ribosomal RNA", at positions 526 to 896 of the family's 1533-position model. The record is from RNAcentral.
CGUAGGGUGCGAGCGUUAAUCGGAAUUACUGGGCGUAAAGCGUGCGCUAGGCGGUUUUGUAAGACAGGCGUGAAAUCCCCGGGCUCAACCUGGGAACUGCGUUUGUGACUGCAAGGCUAGAGUAUGGCAGAGGGGGGUGAAUUCCACGUGUAGCAGUGAAAUGCGUAGAGAUGUGGAGGAACACCGAUGGCGAAGGCAGCCCCCUGGGCCAAUACUGACGCUCAUGCACGAAAGCGUGGGUAGCAAACAGGAUUAGAUACCCUGGUAGUCCACGCCCUAAACGAUGUCGAACUAGGUGUUGGGUGGGUAAAACCAUUUAGUACCGAAGCUAACGCAUGAAGUUGACCGCCUGGGGAGUACGGCCGCAAAGGUUA